UUGGUUCGAGUUUGUGCGCAAGGUGGCGCCACGCACCUACCGCCUGCUUCAGUUCCUGGGAAUCGCCUACCAGCGCUGCUGCCUGGUGUGCGGUGACCCAGAGGACUCGGACUCGUACGUGUGCCCCACCGAGGUGUGCCAGUGCAUAUACUGCUUUUCGUGCUGGAGCGAGAUAGAGAGGUGCUACGCCUGUGAACCUUCAGAAGAUGAAGAGUCAACGCUCUCCAGUGAAAGUCCGCCAUUUGUUCCUUAAACAAGAUUGUCGUCAAUAGAUGCAUUUGUUGUCAGUUAA
This is a long non-coding RNA of Rhipicephalus microplus (southern cattle tick), 292 nucleotides long. The record is from RefSeq and is a predicted model, not a curated record. Lineage: Eukaryota; Metazoa; Arthropoda; Arachnida; Ixodida; Ixodidae.